This 253-nucleotide ribosomal RNA is filed under the name uncultured bacterium. RNAcentral describes it as "partial 16S ribosomal RNA". It matches the Rfam family "Bacterial small subunit ribosomal RNA", at positions 524 to 776 of the family's 1533-position model. The record is from RNAcentral.
UACAGAGGUCCCAAGCGUUGUUCGGAUUCACUGGGCGUAAAGGGUGCGUAGGCGGUCGGGUCAGUCUGAUGUGAAAUCUCACAGCUUAACUGUGAAACUGCAUUGGGUACUAUCCGGCUAGAGGAAUGGAGGGGAGACUGGAAUACUUGGUGUAGCAGUGAAAUGCGUAGAUAUCAAGUGGAACACCGGUGGCGAAGGCGGGUCUCUGGGCAGUAACUGACGCUGAGGAGCGAAAGCGUGGGGAGCGAACAGG